AAUAUUGACAAUGGCGAAGCUGAUCAGCAUGCGCGUGUGUGAGAGCUCGGGUGUAAAGCACUUCAGUGGGAGGAAUGCUCUGUAUACUUGAGCAGUGACGUUACCCACAGAAUAGCACCGGCUAACUCUGUGCCAGCAGCCGCGGUAAUACAGAGGGUGCAAGCGUUAAUCGGAAUUACUGGGCGUAAAGCGCGCGUAGGCGGUUGUAUAAGUUGGAGGUGAAAUCCCCGGGCUCAACCUGGGAAUUGCCUUCAAAACUGUACGGCUAGAGUGUGGGAGAGGAAGGUAGAAUUCCAGGUGUAGCGGUGAAAUGCGUAGAUAUCUGGAGGAAUACCGAUGGCGAAGGCAGCCUUCUGGCCUAACACUGACGCUGAGGUGCGAAAGCAUGGGGAGCAAACAGGAUUAGAUACCCUGGUAGUCCAUGCCGUAAACGAUGUCUACUAGCCGUUGGGGGACUUGAUCCUUUAGUGGCGCAGCUAACGCAUUAAGUAGACCGCCUGGGGAGUACGGUCGCAAGACUAAAACUCAAAUGAAUUGACGGGGGCCCGCACAAGCGGUGGAGCAUGUGGUUUAAUUCGAUGCAACGCGAAGAACCUUACCUGGCCUUGACAUGUCCGGAACCCUGCAGAGACGCGGGGGUGCCUUCGGGAAUCGGAACACAGGUGCUGCAUGGCUGUCGUCAGCUCGUGUCGUGAGAUGUUGGGUUAAGUCCCGCAACGAGCGCAACCCUUGUCCUUAGUUGCCAGCACGUAAUGGUGGGAACUCUAGGGAGACUGCCGGUGACAAACCGGAGGAAGGCGGGGACGACGUCAAGUCAUCAUGGCCCUUACGGCCAGGGCUACACACGUGCUACAAUGGUCGGUACAAAGGGUUGCUAGCCCGCGAGGGUACGCUAAUCUCAAAAAGCCGAUCGUAGUCCGGAUUGGAGUCUGCAACUCGACUCCAUGAAGUCGGAAUCGCUAGUAAUCGCGGAUCAGAAUGCCGCGGUGAAUACGUUCCCGGGCCUUGUACACACCGCCCGUCACACCAUGGGAGUUUACUGCACCAGAAGUAGGUAGCUUAACCGCAAGGAGGGCGCUACCACGGUC
RNAcentral lists this ribosomal RNA (1088 nucleotides) under Perlucidibaca sp. RNAcentral describes it as "bacterial SSU rRNA". It matches the Rfam family "Bacterial small subunit ribosomal RNA", at positions 359 to 1464 of the family's 1533-position model. The record is from RNAcentral. Lineage: Bacteria; Pseudomonadati; Pseudomonadota; Gammaproteobacteria; Pseudomonadales; Perlucidibacaceae.